RNAcentral lists this long non-coding RNA (1129 nucleotides) under Triticum aestivum (bread wheat). RNAcentral describes it as "long non-coding RNA (TAES_LNC027728)". Lineage: Eukaryota; Viridiplantae; Streptophyta; Magnoliopsida; Poales; Poaceae. The record is from RNAcentral.
AAUAUCAAUGAUAUCAGAUGAAAACACUACCGCCAGAAACAACCUGCCAUGACUUAGCAUCAGUUCUGGCAAAACUGCAAUGAAAAUUGUUCCACCAAGUAGUUGUACAGGUGUGACAGUACUAUUGCUAUACCUUCUUGAUCCAUGGAACUUUAAUAUGUUUUGGACCGCUGCUUGGGGCUGCCGAGUGUGACGAGUUCUCCUCGCGUCAUGAGGCUAUACCUAGGUACGCGCGAUUCACCCAAUCCACCGCGACCUCGAUCUAAUCCGGCAUUGGCAGGAGACUAUAGGAAGGUCCUUUAGAAGGUUACUGUUGCCUUGACAACCGUCGGCUGACUCGGAUCUUCCCUGCCGCCCUGUUGCAGCAAUCGACGGCUUGCUAUCUUCUUCAUUAGUACGGCAUCUAGGAAUCCAUGUACAAGCUAGCAGCCUCGGCCUGCAUUCUGAGGAAUUGAUCUCAUUACUUUAUCUAGAGAUUGAUUAAUACUUUCCUACUCAUGAAGAUAAAUUGAUCUUUUGCAUUCUCUUCUUCUCAACCAGGCUUGAUAAUUGUUACACAGUUGCCUUAUUACGUGGAUGUGUAGAUAAACCUGGAGGCCCGGACUUUGCUCGGAAACUCAAUGGACGUCCGGAGAACGUGAUCCCAGGAGAAACUAAGCUGUAUAGUCCUUACGGCCAAAGCUCCUCUCCGAGUCGCCCGCACCUGACCUGCAGAACAAAAACAGAGGAAGAUGAGGUAGGGGGAGCACGAACUGAGAGGGUACAGUGGCCGGUAACCGGAUCGGCACCAUGUACGAGCCCAGCGGCGGCGGGCCCUGGGAGGCCAGGAGCUGAGGCCGACGCCCUCCUCAACGUCGAAGUCAAAGUAGCUCCGGCCGGCUGCUUCGAAUCCUUUUGUCGCCGGCUUCGGCGGCCUCGCUCCGUCGUAGGUGGCAGGUUCUGGACGGGAACCGAGCGCGGGGGUGGGGGGUGGGGGGCGACGCCGGAUUCGGCGGCGACCAGAUCGGAAGGGGAAGAGGUGGGUUCGGGAGCGAUAGAGAUAGAUCGCGUUUGACUGACCUACAAUUUUUUUUUCCACCGGAAAACCAACUUGGGAAGAGAACGCGAUGGGUGGAGGGAUUGACGAAUC